CCUGGUGGCUCAGACGGUAAAGUGUCUGCCUAUAAUGCGGGAGACCCAGGUUCAAUCCCUGGGUCAGGA
Molecule: transfer RNA, 69 nt
Filed under: Ovis aries (sheep)
Lineage: Eukaryota; Metazoa; Chordata; Mammalia; Artiodactyla; Bovidae
Rfam family: tRNA
About the family: Transfer RNA (tRNA) molecules are approximately 80 nucleotides in length. Their secondary structure includes four short double-helical elements and three loops (D, anti-codon, and T loops).
Source: Rfam by way of RNAcentral